GGGGGCGAAACGGUUUCGACUGGUUAGGUUGAACCUGGGUUGCAUGCCGAGGAUGAUCGUUGGCCUCGUUAAUCAUCGGUCACGCAUAUAACUGCGAACAACGAAUACGCUCUCGCCG
This 118-nucleotide transfer-messenger RNA is filed under the name Victivallales bacterium. Its description in RNAcentral is "partial transfer-messenger RNA". It matches the Rfam family "transfer-messenger RNA", at positions 1 to 123 of the family's 374-position model. From Rfam's summary of the family: Bacterial tmRNA, also known as 10Sa RNA or SsrA, is named for its dual tRNA and mRNA-like properties. Its role is to liberate the mRNA from a stalled ribosome. The record is from RNAcentral. Lineage: Bacteria; Pseudomonadati; Lentisphaerota; Lentisphaeria; Victivallales.